Molecule: long non-coding RNA, 182 nt
Organism: Anneissia japonica
Lineage: Eukaryota; Metazoa; Echinodermata; Crinoidea; Comatulida; Comatulidae
Exons: 2
Source: RefSeq, a predicted model, not a curated record
GAGUUGAUGAAAACGGAGCAGAUCACAGACUAAGAAGACGUCUACACAGGCGAGUCUACACUGUACGGGGACCAAACCAUCUCUGGCACAUUGAUGGCAAUCAUAAACUGAUAAGGUGGGGAUUUAUUAUUCACGGAGGAGUUGAUGGAUUAAGUCGUCUUCCAGUCUACAUGAAAUGUUCU